CGGAGGGUGCAAGCGUUAUCCGGAUUUAUUGGGUUUAAAGGGUCCGUAGGCGGAUCCGUAAGUCAGUGGUGAAAUCUCACAGCUUAACUGUGAAACUGCCAUUGAUACUGCGGGUCUUGAGUAAGGUAGAAGUGGCUGGAAUAAGUAGUGUAGCGGUGAAAUGCAUAGAUAUUACUUAGAACACCAAUUGCGAAGGCAGGUCACUAUGUCUUAACUGACGCUGAUGGACGAAAGCGUGGGGAGCGAACAGGACUAGAUACCCUGGUAGUCCACGCCGUAAACGAUGCUAACUCGUUUUUGGGCUUUCGGGUUCAGAGACUAAGCGAAAGUGAUAAGUUAGCCACCUGGGGAGUACGUUCGCAAGAAUG
RNAcentral lists this ribosomal RNA (368 nucleotides) under uncultured organism. RNAcentral's name for it is "bacterial SSU rRNA". It matches the Rfam family "Bacterial small subunit ribosomal RNA", at positions 526 to 896 of the family's 1533-position model. The record is from RNAcentral.